UGGAUGCCUUUUUGUUUUAAAUACUUAUUACAUCAUCUGAUAAUUAGGGCAUGUUGGAUGAUUAUAGUUUUAUAGAUCUUUUGGAAAAUUUGUAUUAGGGGAUAAACAUUUGUAUGAUAUUAACAAGUUUAUAAUUUGUAUGAAUCAGUUAUGGCAAAUGUCGAUAAUACUCCAAUAAUCUCCUCUACUGACGACGAUGUAGAAGAAUUGAUUCUCGCAACAUUGUUGAUAGUACAAUAUCAUUAUUCCAGCGAUUUAUACAAUAGAGAACCACGCAGGGAUAGUGCAUUCAUAGGGGCAGCAUGGGUACAUGAGGUGUUGCAUGGGCAUGCAAACCGCUGUUACGAAGAAUUUGGCAUGGAACGACAUGUGUUUUUAAAUUUAUGCCUACUAAUGAGACAUCGUGGUUGGUUACAAGACAGUCGCAAAAUUAGGGUAGAUGAGCAAUUGGCAAUGUUCAUGUUCAGAAUAACAGGUGUAGGUCCUACUAAUAGAGCAGUUGAGGAGAGAUUCCAACAUUCAGGACAGACUGUCAGCUAUUACUUUGGCAAAGUCUUGCAAGGGGUGCUUAAGCUUUCUAAGGAGUAUAUCAAAGCCCCAUCGUUUGAUGAGAUUCCUAUGGAAAUAAUUGCAAACAACAAAUGGUGGCCAUAUUUUAAGGAUUGCAUUGGUGCCAUAGAUGGUACACAUGUUACUACUAUAGUUCCCAAGGGAAAACAGAUCCCAUAUUGAGGACGGAAGGGGAUAACAACCCAAAAUGUGAUGUAUGCCUGCUCGUUUGACAUGAAAUUCACUUUUGUAUAUGCGGGUUGGGAAGGCAGUGCAAAUGAUUGUCGUGUAUUCAAUAGAGCCCUAGAGGAUCCUACUUUACGAUUUCCUCAUCCUCCCCAAGGGAAGUAUUACGUUGUAGACUCAGGAUAUGCGAGUAGGAAUGGAUACUUGACACCAUUUAAAGGAGAGAGAUAUCAUAUACCAGAUUAUAAUGGAGGAAGAAGACAACCCAGAAGUACUAAGGAAUUGUUUAAUUAUAGACAU
Molecule: RNA transcript, 1035 nt
Organism: Macadamia integrifolia
Lineage: Eukaryota; Viridiplantae; Streptophyta; Magnoliopsida; Proteales; Proteaceae
Exons: 3
Source: RefSeq, a predicted model, not a curated record